RNAcentral lists this ribosomal RNA (253 nucleotides) under uncultured bacterium. RNAcentral's name for it is "partial 16S ribosomal RNA". It matches the Rfam family "Bacterial small subunit ribosomal RNA", at positions 524 to 776 of the family's 1533-position model. The record is from RNAcentral.
UACGUAGGUGGCAAGCGUUGUCCGGAUUUAUUGGGCGUAAAGCGCGCGCAGGUGGUUUCUUAAGUCUGAUGUGAAAGCCCACGGCUCAACCGUGGAGGGUCAUUGGAAACUGGGAGACUUGAGUGCAGAAGAGGAAAGUGGAAUUCCAAGUGUAGCAGUGAAAUGCGUAGAGAUUUGGAGGAACACCAGUGGCGAAGGCGACUUUCUGGUCUGUAACUGACACUGAGGCGCGAAAGCCAGGGGAGCAAACGGG